RNAcentral lists this ribosomal RNA (643 nucleotides) under bacterium PE03-7A26. Its description in RNAcentral is "bacterial SSU rRNA". It matches the Rfam family "Bacterial small subunit ribosomal RNA", at positions 228 to 881 of the family's 1533-position model. The record is from RNAcentral.
GGCCCGCGGCCUAUCAGCUUGUUGGUGGGGUAAUGGCCUACCAAGGCGACGACGGGUAGCCGGCCUGAGAGGGCGACCGGCCACACUGGGACUGAGACACGGCCCAGACUCCUACGGGAGGCAGCAGUGGGGAAUAUUGCACAAUGGGCGAAAGCCUGAUGCAGCGACGCCGCGUGAGGGAUGACGGCCUUCGGGUUGUAAACCUCUUUCAGCAGGGACGAAGCGAGAGUGACGGUACCUGCAGAAGAAGCACCGGCCAACUACGUGCCAGCAGCCGCGGUAAUACGUAGGGUGCGAGCGUUGUCCGGAAUUACUGGGCGUAAAGAGCUCGUAGGCGGUUUGUCGCGUCGUCCGUGAAAACUUGGGGCUCAACCCCAAGCUUGCGGGCGAUACGGGCAGACUUGAGUACUGCAGGGGAGACUGGAAUUCCUGGUGUAGCGGUGAAAUGCGCAGAUAUCAGGAGGAACACCGGUGGCGAAGGCGGGUCUCUGGGCAGUAACUGACGCUGAGGAGCGAAAGCGUGGGUAGCGAACAGGAUUAGAUACCCUGGUAGUCCACGCCGUAAACGGUGGGCGCUAGGUGUGGGUUUCCUUCCACGGGAUCCGUGCCGUAGCUAACGCAUUAAGCGCCCCGCCUGGGGAGU